RNAcentral lists this long non-coding RNA (671 nucleotides) under Homo sapiens (human). Its description in RNAcentral is "non-protein coding lnc-DRC3-3:1". Lineage: Eukaryota; Metazoa; Chordata; Mammalia; Primates; Hominidae. The record is from RNAcentral.
GGAACAGCCGCCCCGGGAGCCUGGGAUAGGGAGUUUCGCUCUUGCUGCCCAGGCUAGAGUGCAAUGGCGCGAUCUCGGCUCACCGCAACCUCCGCCUCCUGGGUUCAAGCAGUUCUCCUGCCUCAGCCCCCCGGGUUCAAGCAACUCUCCUGCCUCAGCCUCCCGAGUAGCUGGGAUUACAGGCAUGCGCCACCACACCUGGCUAAUUUUGUAUUUUUAGUAGAGACGGGGUUUCUCCAUGUUGGUCAGGCUGGUCUCUAUCUCCCGACUUCGGGUGAUCCGCCUGCCUCGGCCUCCCAAAGUGCUGGGAUUAUAGGCAUGAGCCACUGCGCCCAGCCUCCCUAACCUGAUCUUUAAUUCCCCUCCUGCCUCCCAUGACAACUCAAGUUAGUGGCACUAGUAAAGUUACAGAAAUUAUGUGCCUUAGCCAUGGGAAACCGGCCCUCUGUAAACUGUUAUUAAAGCCAUAACAAAUAAUAUCCGACAGCCUGUACCUACUAGUGUUCAGUUCCUGGUACUCCAGAGCCCUAAGCGUUUUUGGGCAGUGGUUGGGGGGCUGCCACCAGGCCUCAACUUGGGUUAGGAAGAUAGGGCAAGGGUGCAAGGCCCGUCUCUGCACAGAGGGUGGGAGAGAGGAGUAACUACAUAGUAGGUGCUUGGUAAGCACUUUC